AAUGAACGCUGGCGGCGUGCCUAACACAUGCAAGUCGAACGAGAAAGUCCUUCGGGAUGAGUAAAGUGGCGAACGGGUGUAUAAUAUAUAGGAAUCUGCCUUUUGGUGUGGAGUACCUCCGAGAAAUCGGGGCUAAUACCGCAUAGUUCCCUACGGGGAUAAAGACGGCCUCUUUGCUGUCGCCAAAAGAUGAGCCUAUACGCUAUUAGCUAGUUGGCAGGGUAAUGGCCUACCAAGGCAAAGAUGGCUAGCCGGCCUGAGAGGGUGUCCGGCCACACUGGGAUUGAGAUACGGCCCAGACUCCUACGGGAGGCAGCAGUGGGGGAUUUUGCACAAUGGGCGAAAGCCUGGUGCAGCGACGCCGCGUGAAGGAUGAAGGUCUUCGGAUUGUAAACUUCUGUUAAACGGGAAGAAAUCUUUGUAAAUAAUACGUGCAAAGGAUGACGGUACCGUUAGAGAAAGCUCCGGCUAACUUCGUGCCAGCAGCCGCGGUAAGACGAAGGGAGCAAGCGUUAUUCGGAAUUACUGGGCGUAAAGAGCGUGUAGGUGGUUAAUUAAGUCAGUUGUACAAUCUCCCGGCCUAACCGGGAAACCGCAAUUGAUACUGAUUGGCUAGAGGACAAGAGAGAGAAGUGGAAUUCUCGGAGUAGCGGUAAAAUGCGUAGAUCUCGAGAGGAACACCGGUUGCGAAGGCGGCUUCUUGGCUUGAUCCUGACACUAAAGCGCGAAAGCGUGGGGAGCAAACAGGAUUAGAUACCCUGGUAGUCCACGCCGUAAACGAUGAUCACUAGAUGUGGGUCUUUAUUAUUAAGAUCCGUGUCGAAGCUAACGCGUUAAGUGAUCCGCCUGGGGAGUACGGUCGCAAGAUUAAAACUUAAAGAAAUUGACGGGGGUCCGCACAAGCGGUGGAACAUGUGGUUUAAUUCGACACUACGCGAGGAACCUUACCUGGGCUUGACAUGUAAUUGACCGCCAUAGAAACAUGGUUUUCCAAGUUUUACUUGGACAGUUACACAGGUGCUGCAUGGCUGUCGUCAGCUCGUGUCGUGAGAUGUUGGGUUAAGUCCUUUAACGAGCGCAACCCUUGCUGUCAGUUGCUACCCUUCGGGGGCACUCUGAUGGGACUGCCUAGGAAACUAGGAGGAAGGUGGGGAUGACGUCAAGUCCGCAUGGCCUUUAUGUCCAGGGCUACACACGUGUUACAAUGGCUAGUACAAAGGGAUGCAGAGCCGUGAGGUGAAGCAAAUCUCAAAAAACUAGUCUAAGUUCAGAUUGAAGUCUGCAACUCGACUUCAUGAAGUUGAAAUCGCUAGUAAUCGCAUAUCAGAACGAUGCGGUGAAUACGUUCUCGGACCUUGUACACACCGCCCGUCACACCACGAAAAUUGUCUACACCCGAAAUUGUCUUAGCUAACUUGAAUAAAGAGGCGGAUAAUGAAGGUGAGGGGAAUGAUUGGGGUG
RNAcentral lists this ribosomal RNA (1461 nucleotides) under uncultured bacterium. RNAcentral's name for it is "bacterial SSU rRNA". It matches the Rfam family "Bacterial small subunit ribosomal RNA". The record is from RNAcentral.